AACACCACCCUGUACUUAACUCCAUGUCCCCCUACAUGACCUUGCUAUUUGCUUUUGAACCAAAUUAACUAACUAACUAACUAACUAACUAAUUAAAUGUGAUAAAUACAACAUUGUUAGAUUAUGUAGGAUGUCUUGAUAGAGAGACAAAGUUUAAGAAGUUUAAUCUAUUUUGUUGUGGACCAAAAUAUUGAGCUAUUACAUAGAUUAAAAAGGUUGACCAAAAUCAUAGUGGUCACCAGUUAACCAUUGAUGAUAAGCAUGGCUCAAGAAUAAAGAUUAAGAAAUUUAGUAUAAAUUAUAAAAUUUGGAAAUAUUUAUUUCAGGGAGUCCAGAGCUGAAGGAGAAGGAUCUUCUGAGAGUGGCUAAGAGGUUAGGAAGAGAUUGGUGGCAAGUCGCGAUUUUUUUAGGAGUUGAUACAACUAAACUGAAAAUUGAUGAUGAGUCUAUUGACGCUGUAAAACAAGGCUACCUGAUGCUUUACGAAUGGUACAGGAAUUGCGACCCAGAAACACGGACACACGCAACAUUAAGUGCAGCUCUUGAAGAAGCUGAAUGUUUCGCUGCGAUGGAAUGUCUGUCAUUAGACGCAAAGUGAAUUUCUGUGUAACUGUUGUUGUUUAGCCUCAGAUUAACCUUGACCAAACAGAGACUUAUGAUCAAACGCAUGCCAGCCAAGACCAUCAUGCCUAUUUCCAAAGAGAACCCACAACCACAUUGUCCAAUAUGCCCUUCUGUACAGUGGUAUCGUGUGAAUUUAGCUACUAAUUCUAGCAGGUAUAUCAACCACAUAGUGAUCCCUUCACUGGUUUGGCUCCUUUGUUAAAAAUUCACAUUUAAAAUAAAGACAAACUUUGAAAUGUC
Molecule: long non-coding RNA, 864 nt
Filed under: Octopus sinensis (East Asian common octopus)
Lineage: Eukaryota; Metazoa; Mollusca; Cephalopoda; Octopoda; Octopodidae
Description: uncharacterized LOC115225955
Source: RNAcentral